Molecule: ribosomal RNA, 468 nt
Filed under: uncultured bacterium
Lineage: Bacteria
Description: partial 16S ribosomal RNA
Rfam family: Bacterial small subunit ribosomal RNA
Source: RNAcentral
GACGAACGCUGGCGGCGUGCUUAACACAUGCAAGUCGAACGGAAAGGCCCUGCUUUUGUGGGGUGCUCGAGUGGCGAACGGGUGAGUAACACGUGAGUAACCUGCCCUUGACUUUGGGAUAACUUCAGGAAACUGGGGCUAAUACCGGAUAGGAGCUCCUGCUGCAUGGUGGGGGUUGGAAAGUUUCGGCGGUUGGGGAUGGACUCGCGGCUUAUCAGCUUGUUGGUGGGGUAGUGGCUUACCAAGGCUGUGACGGGUAGCCGGCCUGAGAGGGUGACCGGCCACAUUGGGACUGAGAUACGGCACAGACUCCUACGGGAGGCAGCAGUGGGGAAUAUUGCACAAUGGGCGGAAGCAUGAUGCAGCAAAGCCGCGUGCGGGAUGACGGCCUUCGGGUUGUAAACCGCUUUCGCCUGUGACGAAGCGUGAGUGACGGUAAUGGGUAAAGAAGCACCGGCUAACUACGUG